Molecule: ribosomal RNA, 429 nt
Filed under: Gemmatimonadota bacterium
Lineage: Bacteria; Pseudomonadati; Gemmatimonadota
Description: Gemmatimonadetes bacterium partial 16S ribosomal RNA
Rfam family: Bacterial small subunit ribosomal RNA
Source: RNAcentral
UAGGGAAUCUUCGGCAAUGGACGAAAGUCUGACCGAGCAACGCCGCGUGAGUGAAGAAGGUUUUCGGAUCGUAAAACUCUGUUGUUAGAGAAGAACAAGGACGUUAGUAACUGAACGUCCCCUGACGGUAUCUAACCAGAAAGCCACGGCUAACUACGUGCCAGCAGCCGCGGUAAUACGUAGGUGGCAAGCGUUGUCCGGAUUUACUGGGCGUAAGGCGAGCGCAGGCGGUUUCUUAAGUCUGAUGUGAAAGCCCCCGGCUCAACCGGGGAGGGUCAUUGGAAACUGGGAGACGUGAGUGCAGAAGAGGAGAGUGGAAUUCCAUGUGUAGCGGUGAAAUGCGUAGAUAUAUGGAGGAACACCAGUGGCGAAGGCGGCUCUCUGGUCUGUAACUGACGCUGAGGCUCGAAAGCGUGGGGAGCAAACAGG